CAGAAUCGCCAUAGCCGGCGAAACUGAAUUGAUAGAGACCUGGACAAUGAGUGGUGAAUAUGCCCGUUUCAGCGACGUAUCCAAUUCCUUUGUCAAUCAAUGUCUCGGCGAGGAGUAAUUUUGAAUCCUGAAAAACAGAAGAAAAAUUAUAAGGAAAUUUUGGAGAAGAAUUUUGAACGUACUUUAACGGAGCCUUGAGUUGCUGAGAAGGCAAUAACACCAACGCAGUCGGUUGCAGUUGCCAAUUUUUUUGAACCAACGGUCGUGAUACCGGAAGUCUUCGGAUCUGAUACAGCAGCUUCGGCCAAGAAGGCCACUGCCGCUAAAAUCAGCGCCGUCCACACCACCCUGGAAAAUUGGGAAUUUAUUAUUCUCCAAACAUUUUUAUUUUUGAGGAUUCUUGAAAUUAUGGUCACUUUGAUUGAAUCAAUCUAUUCAUCUUCGCAGCGAACGAUUUUCUUCUCAUUACAUCUCGAUGGUUUACAUAAUGAGAAUUUAAAUAUGUUGAAUAUAUUAUCCAAGCAAAAUUCCAUUAUUGACGUGUGGGAUUAACAAUUUCAAUCAUUGUAUCAUAAUAAACAGCGAGAGAAAAAAAUAUACAUACUUUAGAUGCAGGUCAGUAAAAAACAAAG
Leptopilina heterotoma is the source of this 632-nucleotide long non-coding RNA. RefSeq lists it as uncharacterized. Lineage: Eukaryota; Metazoa; Arthropoda; Insecta; Hymenoptera; Figitidae. The record is from RefSeq and is a predicted model, not a curated record. The transcript is spliced from 3 exons.